Cyprinus carpio (common carp) is the source of this 1510-nucleotide long non-coding RNA. RefSeq lists it as uncharacterized. Lineage: Eukaryota; Metazoa; Chordata; Actinopteri; Cypriniformes; Cyprinidae. The transcript is spliced from 4 exons. The record is from RefSeq and is a predicted model, not a curated record.
GAGAAAGAGCGAGAGAGAGAGCGAGAGAGAGUGCUGUACACACACACGAGUGUUCGUUCCAGAUCAUCAGAUUCAGAACCGUGAGAAAAACACCAAAGUCCCUGUGUGUUUACUGUCUUCCUGAGUUUAAGACUCGUGAUUUAAAAGAUGAAAUCCCCAAACUGCUCGAGAGAAAGGACACUGGGAGGAGCUGGCGCCGGACUGUAGGGUUCGAGUGCUGCGUUACAGGAUCAUUAGUGCGUCUCGAGUCAUGACAGAUGCAUGUUCCCAGCUUCAUCCGUCAUCACGUGUCACAGAGAGUGGGGCUGAAGAUGUGGGACCGUGAGGGUAAAGAGGUUCCAGGAAACAGAGGAGACCAGUAUUUGGUGCAGCAGGAGUCCGAGAGCUGUUCGAGAAAGAGCGUGUGAUACCUGACCAGACCCGCUGGCUUCUGUUAGCACCAGAACCUGGUGUGAUUAUAUGUUGUAGUCGAGGAGCUGUACCAGCGCCCAGAAGAACACGAAGAAGGAGAUUGAUGCUGACUAUUACGAUUCGGUCACGGCGUUGUCAUGGUGUGUUUGGAGAGCAUCAAAGACCUGAAGUACGAGACCUACCACUUCACUGAGUUCCUCAUCAGAGAACAAGCUGCUCAUUCUCUGUCUCUUUCUCCUUAUGCAAUUUUGAACAACUGAAUAAAUAAAUGUGUGAAUAAAAAUCAUAAAUGUCCAGCACAACUCAACCAAGCACUGAAACCAUGCUAGAAAACAAAACUAUGCAAAAUGUGUCUGUUUAAUUCAAUGAAAUGGACAUGGAAGGACAUGUUUUGUUAGAAACGAAUGAAAUCUGUUGUUUAAUCUUCUCAGUGUAAUUAGGGUCAACCUGAUGACUUGAUAUUUAUGGUGCCAGGAGGACCACCAAAGCAGCGGCAAUCAUGGUGACCGGAGCAGGGACGUCCACCAGCGUCCCUCGGGAGGAGGACCUGGACAGCGGCUGGGAAAGUGAGCUUGCGUCGCCCUCCUGCAAGUCCAUCCUAGUGUGCACAGCACAGGCGUCUACAACCAUCACAUCUCAUUUAGCUUUACAGGAUAGCAUGAUUUAAUUUGAACUGUAAAGUGUUCAUGGUCCCACAGUAUUUUUUCAUAAGCGCUGACUGAACAGAUUUGCGUAUCCUUCUCUCUGGAGUACAGAGGACAUCAUGAGAAACACAUGUUCCUGCUGUGGACUGAUGUGAAUGAAUAAAAUAAGAGCAGAACUGAGGCAGAAGCACAAAAUGGAUUUAAUCUGUCAGCUCUGACAGCUUCUCUUCUGGAUUGUAAGGGCUAUCAGUCUGCCUCAACAUUCAUUCUUAUAGACUGUCAUAGACCAUUAGUACUUCUAUUAUUUUUCACAAAUGGCUUUUCAACAUUGUUAAAAUCAUAAUACAGUACCUUACUGUUUUUACAUUUCAUCAGUACAGGUCCCAUAAAUAUGGUCUAACGUGUGUGUAAUACUUCAUAUUUAAUCAACAUGUUCCAUAUCGUUACCUUCGUCG